CAACACAAGUGAUCUGAAUGGCUGCAGCACGCAUUGAUCUUUUGACCUCAUUUCCUGUUAACCAGGGCGCAUUUUGUAACUUAGCAUUAGUAACAAAACAAUGCAGCGUUUUUUAAUUCGUACACAUCCAGAGACUUAAUCAAAAGAAAAAAAAGAGUAAUGGUGAAGCUGCGUGGGGCUUCAGGUGGUGUUAAUAUGUCUUGUUAAGGCGCUGGUCUUGCUUUAUUCACUGACUUGCACCAGGAAGGGCUUGAACAUGGAGAUGAGAAAGGGAACAAGAGGCUCAAAAAGAGCUUGCUAAGUAAACAUGCUUGAAAAAGUAAAAGUCCCUCACAAAGGCUCCCUCCAGUUUGGAAAUACCAGGAGACUCAUUGCGGACCUGCUGAUUAAGUGCAUAUUAUAACAACAUCUUAUCAAGCCCACAAUGCAUUCAUGGAGGCCGGCGAUUUUCCCGGGAUUAAUGCCAGUCGGGUACUUUCCCUCUGGAUGUGCUGUCAUCUUGGGGGUCUGAAUGACUGCCACCCGCUCUCGUAAUCACUUCAUGAGCUCAUUCCCCUCUGACUGUCACCACCAUUCUGCUGAUGGAGGCAUCUUUCACACAGACGCAGCACGGCGCGCGGGGGGAGGAUGCUAAAUGAAGGGCAUUAGGCUGCAGACGCUGGUCAUCCUAACCCUGCUGGACCUCGUGAUCAUAUCUCUGUCCACACACAGAGCAGCUGACAAGCAGCAGCCUUGGAAGUUGAUCAGACUCCAGUGGCUGAGGCUCACGUGGAACAACAGAGCAGCUCAAAACAAAGAGGCAGUCCUGAUUACCUGUACUGGCUCCUUCAAUCAAGCAGCGGGGAGAGGCAGGACGGCCAGCCGGGGAGGGAGCGCAGGAGGCCGGCCACAUCCAGUGGGCUGCAUCGAGGAGACGGACCAUUAGCCAGAGGAAAGCCAUGGCUCACAGCCCUGGUCGAUCAGGUAAGCGCCGCGUGCGUUUUUCUUUUCCGCUGUAGUCGCCCCGUGCCAAACAGUGUCAGUGUUUAUUUGCUGGCUUUAGAGGUGAGCCGCCUUCAGCUGGGCUAGCAGCGUACAGUGGGCUUACUUUAAGCGCUGUAUGAGCGCCGCUGCAGCCACCUCCAUACAGCUGUCACGAGCAGCACGCGCACAAGUGCUCUCUGCAUGCUUUAUAUAAAGCACUGUACAUUUAGACCACUGUACAUCCAGCUAUAACAGCUGUAUUCUUCUAUAUUACAUUAGCACUGGACAGUCGUAAUAUGGGCCUAAAUGUGCAAAUAUUGCUAUA
This 1288-nucleotide long non-coding RNA is filed under the name Astyanax mexicanus (Mexican tetra). RNAcentral describes it as "lncRNA (ENSAMXG00005022536.1)". The record is from RNAcentral. Lineage: Eukaryota; Metazoa; Chordata; Actinopteri; Characiformes; Acestrorhamphidae.